CACCAGGCUCACGUGUCGAUGCCGUGGUCCGGAUCAAAAAUUUCCACUCCAGAAAAUUCCGUUCCAAAGCUUGAUGGCAGACGAGUCCUGAAGAAUUAUUUUUGAAACCAUAUUGAUAUGUAGGUUAUCAACCAACAACAAGGAACAGUCUGUUGUGCACGGAAGCAAGAAAAUCACUGAGACUGGGACACAGAAUUCCCAACCACAUAAUGGAUUACUGGCAAACUGUAGCUCCUUUGCUACAGCAGCUGGAGGUUGAGAAGGUCAGAAAAACAUUAGUUACUUUGCAAUGUUGUUCAUUUGCUGUUCUGCAUCCACAUGUGAGUUAGUUUUGUGGCCACACGGUGGUGAGAAGUGUUGCUUCUUGUCUGGGGAAGAAGGUCUGCCAAAUCUAAACGCUGCAGUUAUUUCUAAAGCAAAGUUAGGUGUACUGUACUGCACACAGUACACCAGGAAAGGCCCAUUAGCCUACUGGGUUAGGGUAGAUUCCAAGAAGAGGAAGGAGAAUUUGGCUGAAACAAAGUCUCUUUCCAAGUAUGUGUUUUUUCCUGCCUUCACCUUCACCUGAACUCUAAUCAGUCAUGUUUAAUGAUCCCUGACCUGACCCUAAAUUGAAGUAAA
Molecule: long non-coding RNA, 621 nt
Organism: Betta splendens (Siamese fighting fish)
Lineage: Eukaryota; Metazoa; Chordata; Actinopteri; Anabantiformes; Osphronemidae
Exons: 3
Source: RefSeq, a predicted model, not a curated record